GUCAGAAAAAAGAGAUGCAACGAUGGAAGCAGGGAUAGAGAGAUGCUGCCUCCAUGAAGGGAGGGGUCACAAGCCAAGGAAUGAGGGAAGCCUUUAGAAGCUGGAAAAGGCAAGAAAACUCCCCACAGAGCCUCCUGAAAGGAAUGUAACUCCACAAAGACCUUGAUUUUAGCCCCGUGGCACUGAUGUGGGAUUCUGACCUGCAGAAUUAUAGAAAUUUUAGACCUUAUUUAUUGCCAUGAUAUUAUGGUAAAUGAGGAUCAUCAUUGUUUCAACCCCUCAUUUCCUUGUCCCUCGAUUCCAUAGGACGCCUGCCACAGCAUGGCUUGAUAAGCAGUGCAGAGGUCCACACCUGGGAUCCCAACCGGUGAACCCCAAGCCACCAAAGCAGAGCACAAGAACUUAACUGCUAUGCCACCAGGCCAGCUCCUCGUGGUUCUGAUUCAUAUUUCCUUCAUGAUUAUGACAUUGAGCAUACUUUCAUGUACUUUUGCUUAAUUGUAUGUCUUAUUUGGAGAAAGUGUCUAUUUAAUUCCUUUGCCCAUAUUUUCAUUUGUUUUUUGUUUGUUUGUUUGCUAUUGAGUUAUUGGAGUUCCUUAUAUAUUUUGGAAAUUAGCCCUUAUCAGGUAUGUGGUUUAUAAAUAUUUUUUCCCAUUUCAUAGACUUUUAACUCUGCUGAUUCUUUUCUUUGUUGUGUGGAAGAUUUGUAGUUUGAUAUAGUCUUAUUUGUCUACUUUUGCUUUUGUAGCUUUUGCUUUUGGUGUCACAUCCAAGACAUCAUUGCUAAGAUCAAUGUCAUGGAGAUUUUUUCCUAUUUCUUCUUCUAGGCGUUUCAUAGUUUCAGGUCUUAUGUUUAGAUCUUUAACCCAUUGUGAGUUUAUUUUUGUGUUCAGAGUAAGACAAGGAUCCCAAUUUCAUUUGUUUGUAUGUAGAUAUUCAGUUGUCCCAACACCAUUUGUUGAAGAGGCCAUCCUUUCCCCAUCGUGUAUUCUUGUCACCUUUGUUGACCAUCAGUUGGCCAUAUGUGCAUGGGUUUAUUUCUAGGUUCUCUACUUUGUUCCAUUGGUCUUUGUCUGUUUUUAGACCAGUACAAUACUGUUUUAAUUACUGUAGAUUUGUAACAUAUUUUGAAAUCAGGAAAUGUGAUGCCUCCAUCUUUAUUCUUUGUCUGGUUUGCUUUGGCUAUUCAGGGUGUUUUUUGGUUCAAUAUGAAUUUUAGAAUUAUUUUUCUAUUUCUGUAAAAACUGUGUUUGGUAUUUUUGUAGAUAUGCAUUGAAUCUGUAGAUUACUUUGCAGACUAUGGACAUUUUAACAAUGUUGUCUUCCAAUCCAUCUAUUUACUUCUAUCUUCUCUAAUUUUUUUCAUCAAUGUUUUGUAGUUUUCAGUGUAUAUUUUUCACCUCCUUGGUUAAUUUCAUUCCUAAGUAUUUUAAUCUUUUUGGUGCUAUUAUAAAUGGGAAAGUUUUCCUAAUUUCCUUUUCAGAUAGCUCAUUUUUAGUGUAUAGAAUAACAACC
RNAcentral lists this long non-coding RNA (1515 nucleotides) under Equus caballus (horse). RNAcentral describes it as "lncRNA (ENSECAG00000040175.3)". Lineage: Eukaryota; Metazoa; Chordata; Mammalia; Perissodactyla; Equidae. The record is from RNAcentral.